Molecule: ribosomal RNA, 483 nt
Filed under: uncultured Desulfobulbus sp.
Lineage: Bacteria; Pseudomonadati; Thermodesulfobacteriota; Desulfobulbia; Desulfobulbales; Desulfobulbaceae
Description: bacterial SSU rRNA
Rfam family: Bacterial small subunit ribosomal RNA
Source: RNAcentral
AACUUAAAGGAAGUGGACGGGGGCCCGCACAAGCGGUGGAGCAUGUGGUUUAAUUCGAUGAUACGCGAGGAACCUUACCUGGGCUCAAAUGUAUGUUGACGUAUUCUGAAAGGGAUACUUCUUCGGACAAUAUACAAGGUGCUGCAUGGUUGUCGUCAGCUCGUGCCGUGAGGUGUCGGGUUAAGUCCCGCAACGAGCGCAACCCUUGCCUUUAGUUGCCAGCAGUUCGGCUGGGCACUCUAAAGGGACUGCCGGUGUUAAACCGGAGGAAGGUGGGGAUGACGUCAAGUCCUCAUGGCCUUUAUGACCAGGGCUACACACGUACUACAAUGGCCGGCACAACGGGAAGCGAGUUCGCGAGGACGAGCGGAUCCCUCAAAGCCGGUCGCAGUUCGGAUUGAAGUCUGCAACUCGACUUCAUGAAGCUGGAAUCGCUAGUAAUCGUGGAUCAGCCAAGCCGCGGUGAAUACGUUCCCGGGCCUU